This is a long non-coding RNA of Oncorhynchus keta (chum salmon), 3138 nucleotides long. RefSeq lists it as uncharacterized. The record is from RefSeq and is a predicted model, not a curated record. Lineage: Eukaryota; Metazoa; Chordata; Actinopteri; Salmoniformes; Salmonidae. The transcript is spliced from 5 exons.
ACCAAACAAAACGGCGACAAAUGUUGGGACAAGAUGACUGUAUGGAUCCUGUUCAACCACAGGGGCACGACAUAUAAAAGUUAAAAUUCACUCUAAAGUCUUCAAUGAAACUCCAUAUGUGUAAAGAAAGAGUCCAGGAGAGUGAUAUUGAGUAGGAUCGUAGGCUACUGCGUCCGCCGUCGCCUGAUCUGUUGAUAUGUCUCUAAUCCGGCAGAGCGUCAAUGAACCGAGCAGAAGGAGGAGGACAGACAGACAGGCAGACACAUUCGAUAGCUUACAAGGAUGACUGAAAGCUAAGGCAUACAUUACCACUAAGGUCGAUUAUUGUAUGAAGUCACAAAAAAAAAUAGGUGUACCUUUUUGUUUAAGUUUACUGAACUUUCACAUAAACUUGAGCCUUGUUGAUGACGUUUAGGGAUUGUGACGGCUUCCCCUACUGUCAGUCAAAAGCCACUUUGCUGUCAUCUCCAAACUGAAAUCUAUCCCAUUGGUUCAGUUUUUAAUCACUAAAAUGUCAAACUUAACCAAAGAACUAUAAGCCAUAAUAUGUUACAUCCUUUUCUCGCCCAUAGGUAAUCUCAGUCAUUUAGAGUUUAGUUUCCCUUUCUGCAAGCUAUGUUUAUGAGUGUUAAUAUUCUGUAAAAAGCGAAUCAUUUUGAUAGGCCAUUCAUGAUAAAGAUUCAGCAAGAAUAAAACGUGCUAAAUUGUGCAAUCUUAAAAUGUGGGGAAAUAGACAAACUUCCCUUUUAUAAGAAAUUCAUGUUAAGAUGUAUUUAAUCUACCAUCCAAACUGAUUGAUAAAAAUGAGAAUCAGCCUGUCCAUGGCCCACAUUCAAAUGUUGUGUAAAAUGUAGGGACGUGGUGUUAGUGGAGUUUGUAUUAAAACGGUAGCGAAGCGAAGGAGAAAACAAACACACACACAGUCACCAACAUUUACACGACAACACACGGAAUAGGCUACUGCCCCACAUGGAAAAGCUUUAUAUUGUACAUUUACGAGGAAAAUCAAUUGAAGUAGAAUGGUUGAAACACAGCCCAGACGAGGAUCUCCUAGUUUAAAGAUUUAAAUGUGGAAAUGUUGCCACCGCAUCGCAUUUUUUUCACAAGGCUUUGGCAUUUGCACCAGUAGUGAACACACACAUAGGCUACAACACACACAAUAGUGCGGAUGUCUGUGGUCACUGCACAAACCCCAGCUACGCAGAAUAGGAGAUGUUCACAUUUGGAAUGUGGAUUAAAAAAACAAUGUUGCUCCAUCUAAUAGAAGGCUAUACAUAAAAUGUACAAAUAAGAUGGAUGGCAAACCAACGGGAAUAGCCUACGUCCGUUUCCUACCAAAAGGAAUAGGAACGAAUAACAUCGAAUACAUUUCGAUUCCCCGGAAAGGACACCGGGAUAAAGAUAGCAUCAGAGUACAGUUGACGCAGGUACCUACAGCGCUCUACCCACUCCUGGAGCAGCACGGACCUUUCUCACCUGCUCAGAAGGCGCCGGACCCCUUAACACGCCACCUAUCUUCACGCGGAGGGAUAAUUGAGGAGUAUGUGUGUGAGCGUCGUUUGGAGAAGAACGUGAUCAAGUUGUUGUCUCCCUUGAGAUUACAUUUAUCAUUUGUAGGCUAUGCUUUGAGUCAAAGGUUAGAGGAAUUACCCACGAAGCAGACUUCCAAUAGCGACAUCACAAAUGAAAUAAAACAGCACUGUAAUUGCAGUGAGAGAGAAGAUCUUUAUAAUUCGGCGACAGGCACUGUCCAUACUGGCAUAUCAGUCAAAUCUGUGAAAGGGGCGCCGAAGUACCUGAUUGGAGCGCACAGGUAGUUUACCUGUACAUAUAGUUCCCUUCCUGCGUGUAUCCAGAGGCACAACAGCGGAUAGGUAGCCGACCUCUGCCUUUUUAUCUUGACUUAGUGACUGUAUAUUCACAUUGAAAAUCCUUCUGUGCCAUUCCGCAUUGUAUUUAUUGUACAAAAACGAAAGGGGGAAGAUGCAGACAUAUUUUUCUACCGGGCUCUCACUGGCAUUAACUAAACACGCUGCGGCAAAGGCGUAAUUUACAACCUGCAAAUAUGCAUAUCAUACUAUAUCGUGCUUUUUUUUAUUAUGUUUCAUGUUUAUCAUAGUUAAAAAUAAAAAAAUCAUCAUCACUUGUAGGCUCCAGUCAGUCAUGUGCAGCGGAGAGUAACUACCACAAAUGGUUUGUGGUUGGUAAAGUAGGCUAUUCCCCUCCCUUCUCAGUAUAUAUUUAUUUUCUGGAUGGAUGGAUGAUAAGUUCACAAAUGGAUGGAAGCGGCUAUAUGAUGAACCCACUCAAAGCCAUUUGGAUUUGAAUGGAGCUCAUACGAAACCAGGAAUAUGGAAACUUGAUCAAGAUGGCAGGUUAUCAGGAGGAAGAGCGCUGGGUGCUGGUGUCCUCAUCACGUUCUCAACUUACUGUUACUGUAUGGCAGAUUUCGUUGAGCAAUUCAUUUGGUUUUGGGCUGUUCCCUGGCGUCUCCACCUCCCAGAGAAAUGUCUGAGGCCUUGAUAUAUUCCUCUCAGGUUUCCAUGGCCGCACCGCCCGGGCCAGAUCCCGUUGCACUGAUGUCACUCAUGAAUUGAACCACCUCUCUACGGGAAGGGAUUCACAAGCUGGCUUCCGGGUUACGCGAGCAGUGUGUCAAGAAGCAGUGCGGCUUGGCAGGGUCGUGUUUUGGAGGAUGCAUGGUUCUCGACCGUCGCCUCUCCUGAGUCCGUUGGGGAGUUGCAGUGAUGGGACAAGUCUGUAACUACCUACUUACUCAAGCACAGUAGAUCUACGUAAUUGUAUCUUCUUGACCCUACACUUAGUUACUACACCAUUAUCAUUCUUCUAGACAUACGUCUUUGUAGGCACAUAGUCUUACUGAGGAGGCAUUUCAGCUAAUAUCACAAAUCAUUCAGAAUGUUGCUGGUUAUAAGGCUUUCUAGUACAGUAUUUUCAUCUGUCAUUUGAAAGGCAGCCAUAGGGCGCUUGUUAAUGUGACACCAAGCGGAGUCACGCUUUCAUCAUAAGUGUUAUGAAAGUCUGGAGUUAUGUUUGUUUGGAAAUGUAUUUAAAAAAGUAUAUGUUAGAAUUUGAUACUGAUACAAAUGUGAUACAGUGGUAUAGCGCCCUCUAGUG